This 109-nucleotide ribosomal RNA is filed under the name uncultured eukaryote. RNAcentral's name for it is "partial small subunit ribosomal RNA". The record is from RNAcentral.
UCGCUCCUACUGAUUGGGUGAUCCGGUGAAUAAUUUGGACUGCAGUCUUGCUCAGCGCCUGAGAAUUACCGCACGAAGUUUGGUGAACCUUAUCACUUAGAGGAAGGAG